This is a long non-coding RNA of Bos grunniens (domestic yak), 3357 nucleotides long. The record is from Ensembl. Lineage: Eukaryota; Metazoa; Chordata; Mammalia; Artiodactyla; Bovidae.
AUGAAUAGUAAUGUCACUUCCUUGUUGCAGAGCUGGCAGACUGCCCUCCGUUCCUGCUGGCUGAGAGCCAGAGAUGGCCCGAGGUCUACACUUCUCUCUGCAGCCACAUUCUCAGCCUCCCUGUGGCUGGGGCACGUCUGGACUCAGCAUUUCUGCCUCCCAAGGGGAUACGCGUGCUUCUGUGUUUCCUCCACUGCAGUCCAAACAAGAAUCAACCAUGCUACCAUGAACAUCAUUAAAACGACGUUGGUUCACUCAGUGGCAACGGAGUGGCAGUCAGGGGCUCCUGUCGUGGAACAGGCACUGUUUGGAUCCUGCAGAAUCCGGGUGGUAAGUUGUCUUAUCCUGAUGGAGUGAGCAGGGGGAUUUCUGAGUGUAGACAGCACCUGACCUCGUUCACUUUCAGAUGGUCAGCAAAGCCUCUGGUGGAGAGGAGGAUUUCCAAACAUCUGAAAUACCUGAGGGCAGGGAAGGCUCCCAGGGCAAGAAGAAGGAAUUUUUGGGAAUAAGCUGUCUGAAAUCAGCAAAAGAACUGAUUGGAAUGAGACCUUGUGUCACUUUCUAAAAUUGGACGUGGCUGAAAAUAGCUAUUGGAGGGACUUGGGAAAGAAGGAGCUUUGCCUUGAGUUCUAGGAAUGUCCCGCAGGGUGGGUGUCCACUUUGCUUCCUGACCUCUGCUCUGUCCUUCGCCACCACCUCUGCCCCUCUCACUUCCCACAUCAGCUCUGUUCUGCCUGUUCAUGCUUAUCUCAAACUUCUGCUAAAAACUUCCUCUUUCCAGUGAUGCUCUUUGUUCUUUGUAGAGGAUACUUGAUUCUCCCGAGUCCAAACUCAAAAAAAGACCUUCCCUCUAAUGUUUUCAAAUGUUCCCCACUUGUGGACCAAAUAUUUUUUGAGCAAUUAUCAUGUACUGUUGGAAAAUUCACAAUUUAUAAAACAUUCACCCUACAUGAUUACUUUAAAACAAUAUGAAGUAAUAUAUGGUUAAAUGUCAAGGAAAUGGCAACCCAUUCCAGUAUCCUUGCCUGGAAAAUCCCAUGAACAGAGGAGCCUGGUGGGCUACAGUCCAUGGGGUCACCAAGGAGUUGGACACGACUUAGGGAUGACAACAACAACAUACGUAAUGGGUAGGAGGUGUUUAAGGAAUUUAGAAGAGACAGAGAGAUCAUGUUGGAGCUGGAGUCCAUACUGAAGGCUCCACAGAAAAGCAAACCUUCAGACUAGAUGGUAAAAAGGUGGAACUGGGGAGAUUUGAAAUAAAGCCAAGCUUAGCGAACAAAUACUUGCAGGAGGAAUUUCAUGGUAGAGAAUAAUAAAAAUAAUGUUUAACAACUAAAGAGGAUCUUAUGGUUUGCAACUGCUUUCACACAUACACACACACUAUUUGAGGGGUACCUCACCAUGCAGCUUGUGGGAUCUCAGUUCCCUGACCGGGGCUCAAACCUGGGCAGUGAAAGAGCUAAGUUCUAACCACUGGACUGUCAGAGAAGUACUUCCCCCACCUCUACUAUCCCUACACUAUUGAAUUUAAGAGCAGUGAGCUGAAACCAAGUCCUGCUGUAUAGAGGGGGAACAAUAUCCAAUCUCCUUAGGAUAAACCAUAAUGGAAAGGAAUUAAAAAAAAAAAAAGAAUGUAUGCUACUGCUGCUGCUAAGUCGCUUCAGUCGUGUCCGACUCUAUGCGACCCCAUAGACAGCAGCCCACCAGGCUCCUCUGUCCAUGGGAUUCUCCAGGCAAGAACACUGGAGUGGGUUGCCAUUUCCUCCUCCAAUGCAUGAAAGUGAAAAGUCAAAGUGAAGUUGCUCAGUCGUGUCCGACUCUUAGCGACCCCAUGGACUGCAGCCUACCAGGCUCCUCUGUCCAUGGGAUUCUCCAGGCAAGAACACUGGAGUGGGUUGCCAUUUCCUCCUCCAAUGCAUGAAAGUGAAAAGUCAAAGUGAAGUUGCUCAGUCGUGUCCGACUCUUAGCGACCCCAUGGACUGCAGCCUACCAGGCUCCUCUGUCCAUGGGAUUCUCCAGGCAAGAACACUGGAGUGGGUUGCCAUUUCCUCCUCCAAUGCAUGAAAGUGAAAAGUCAAAGUGAAGUUGCUCAGUCGUGUCCGACUCUUAGCGACCCCAUGGACUGCAGCCUACCAGGCUCCUCUGUCCAUGGGAUUCUCCAGGCAAGAACACUGGAGUGGGUUGCCAUUUCCUCCUCCAAUGCAUGAAAGUGAAAAGUCAAAGUGAAGUUGCUCAGUCGUGUCCGACUCUUAGCGACCCCAUGGACUGCAGCCUACCAGGCUCCUCUGUCCAUGGGAUUCUCCAGGCAAGAACACUGGAGUGGGUUGCCAUUUCCUCCUCCAAUGCAUGAAAGUGAAAAGUCAAAGUGAAGUUGCUCAGUCGUGUCCGACUCUUAGCGACCCCAUGGACUGCAGCCUACCAGGCUCCUCUGUCCAUGGGAUUCUCCAGGCAAGAACACUGGAGUGGGUUGCCAUUUCCUCCUCCAAUGCAUGAAAGUGAAAAGUCAAAGUGAAGUUGCUCAGUCGUGUCCGACUCUUAGCGACCCCAUGGACUGCAGCCUACCAGGCUCCUCUGUCCAUGGGAUUCUCCAGGCAAGAACACUGGAGUGGGUUGCCAUUUCCUCCUCCAAUGCAUGAAAGUGAAAAGUCAAAGUGAAGUUGCUCAGUCGUGUCCGACUCUUAGCGACCCCAUGGACUGCAGCCUACCAGGCUCCUCUGUCCAUGGGACUUUCCAGGCAAGAGUACUGGAGUGGGGUGCCAUUGCCUUCUCCCAUAUAUGUGUUAAAAAGUUCCCCACUUGUGGACCAAAUAUUUUUGAGCAAUUAUCAUGUACUGUUGGAAAAUUCACAAUUUAUAAAACAUUCACCCUACAUGAUUACUUUAAAACAAUAUGAAGUAAUAUAUGGUUAAAUGUCAAGGAAAUGGCAACCCAUUCCAGUAUCCUUGCCUGGAAAAUCCCAUGAACAGAGGAGCCUGGUGGGCUACAGUCCAUGGGGUCACCAAGGAGUUGGACACGACUUAGGGAUGACAACAACAACAUACGUAAUGGGUAGGAGGUGUUUAAGGAAUUUAGAAGAGACAGAGAGAUCAUGUUGGAGCUGGAGUCCAUACUGAAGGCUCCACAGAAAAGCAAACCUUCAGACUAGAUGGUAAAAAGGUGGAACUGGGGAGAUUUGAAAUAAAGCCAAGCUUAGCGAACAAAUACUUGCAGGAGGAAUUUCAUGGUAGAGAAUAAUAAAAAUAAUGUUUAACAACUAAAGAGGAUCUUAUGGUUUGCAACUGCUUUCACACAUACACACACACUAUUUGAGGAGUACCUCACCAUGCAGCUUGUGGGAUCUCAGUUCCCUGACCGGGC